UGGGGUAUGGUGUAACGGUAGCACGACUGACUCUGACUCAGUUAGUCUAGGUUCAAAUCCUAGUACCCCAA
RNAcentral lists this transfer RNA (71 nucleotides) under Pseudomonadota bacterium. RNAcentral's name for it is "tRNA-Gln". It matches the Rfam family "tRNA". From Rfam's summary of the family: Transfer RNA (tRNA) molecules are approximately 80 nucleotides in length. The record is from RNAcentral. Lineage: Bacteria; Pseudomonadati; Pseudomonadota. RNAcentral also lists the same sequence under 3 other names.